CGCUGAAUCCAGGAGUACAAAUGAAGUCACUGGGUUCCUGGGAAAGACAUGAGGCUGGAGAUCCAGGCUGGUAAACAUACAGCAGCCAAAGCAGGCCUGAGGAUGAAGAAGCAGGUCACAGAGCAAAGUCACUCCAUAGGAACCAGCUAGUGAGGCUGCCUGCUCUCCACUGGGAACUGGACCCCUGAUGAUGAACUUUCUCCUUGUGCCAUCUACUCUUUCAUCAAGCAAAGCUUCCUGAAGCAUCUGCUGUAUCAGGAGCUCCGCUAAGAGACACAGAAGAGACUGUGACUACCAUUUCUAUCAGCCAAGUAGGAUACUAACAAGGCUCCAAGGAUUAAGGUCCCAGAAAGGCCUGCCACCCACAGAACUUUCGAGUCUACAGGAACACCUGGAGGAUGGAUGGAAAGGAGGGACCAUUCCAAUAGCCUGCCUUCCUGGGAAGGGGAGACUUUUGCCCAGGAUUGAGGAGACGUAAGUCCUGUUUCCAACUUUGAUGAAGACAGUGGACUCCUCCAUGAACAAUUUACUCAUCCUUGGACUUCCCACUCCAGGACUGAGAUUACAUUUGUCCUGUUGCUUCCACUGAAAGAAGAGCCAGAAAUAUGCCUUAGAAUUUUGGAAGAGAACUGCCCAUCUUCAAGGAUGGAUAUUGGUCUCCCCGGAGUCGCUGACAGGGUUCCUGGGGAAGAAUAAGAGCUCCUAGCAUCGUUGAUGUAGCUUCUUUUAGAUGGGUGGAAACUCAGAUCCUGCUGAUGGAGUACGUACAGGCAUGCCUUCAACAGCAAUAGAGACUUCAGGAGGCAGUGAGCAGAUUCUAGCUCUGGCAUUGCUGGGGUGAGGAUAUGUCUGCCCUCCCAACCCUCUUCUACUUUUGGACUUCUAAAAAGUACCUGGACAAUUCAGAGGGAGGUAGAUGACUGAAGUGUGAUUUUCCGAAGGCAGAAGGAGGCUCGUCACAGCCUACUUUAUCCAAAUGGGCCCUUAACCUGCAGUCCUACCAGCCUCUCAAACAGCGAAACUUUGCAGCUGGCAGAGACGUGUAUGACACAUCUGUGCUGCCAAUCACUGAAGAAACCAUGUCUUGAGGAACCUAAGGAGAAAAACUCAGUGGCAAUUGCUUGUCAGUGAAAACAGUCGCGGCACACAGGGAGAGACCCACUGACCCUGUGGGGCUGGUCCCUACAUCUGGCGAUCUGACGUGGGGCUCUCCCUCGCUGUGUGAAGUUGCACCCUGAGUGUGGGAUCAGCAGAGGAGUUCAACGAGAUAUUCCUGAGGAUUGCGGUCAAUAAACUUGGUGACCUUGAGGAUGUUGCAGGAAGAAGAGAGAGGGCCUCGUUUGGGAGCUGUUCACCUCUGUCCUAAUACAGGGCACCAGGUCCUGUUCCAAUGGCAGACAGUGUGGGAAGCCAUUAAUGUGCCUGAGUUCUGCAGUCAGACAGCUGGUGUUGGAUCCUCUAACCAACUCUGUGACUGGACAGGAGUUAUAGCCUCUUUCCAAGUGAAUUAUGAAGAGCAAGAGCAAGUGUGGAUAAUAUGGAAGCUCAUUCCAGGAUGUUCAAGCUCAGUCGCCCCCGCCAGCUUGUUCACCGUGUUAUCCUGCUGCUCUGCUGCCCCACUCCUCCACCAGUCACGAUGGAAGAAGAGAUCGCCACGCUUGCCAUUGACAAUGGCUCCAGCAUGUGCAAAGCUGGCUUUGCUGGGGACGAUGCCCCCCAAGCUGUGUUUCCCUCUAUCAUCGGGCACCCCCGGCAUAAGAGCGUGAUGGUGGGCAUGGGCCAGAAGGACUCCUACGUGGGCGACAAGGCCCAGAGCAAGCCGGCAUCCUGACCCUGAAGUACCCCAUUGAGCAUGGCAUCGUCACCAACUGGGACGACAUGGAGAAGAUCUGGGACCACACCUUCUACAAUGAGCUGUGCGUGGCCCUGGAGGAGCACCCAGUGCUGCUGAUCGAGGCCUGCCCGAACCCCAAGGCCAACAGAGAGAAGAUGACUCAGAUCAUGUUUGAGACCUUCAACACCCCGGCCAUGUAUGUGGCCAUCCAGCCCGUGCUAUCCCUCUACGCCUCUGGGCGCACCAGUGGCAUUGUCAGGGACUCUGGAGAUGGGGUCACCCACACGGUGCCCAUCUACGUGGGCUACGCCCUCCCACAUGCCAUCCUGCAUCUGGACCUGGCUGGCAGGGACCUGACAGGCUACCUCAUGAAGAUCCUUACCGAGCGUGGCUACAGCUUCACCACCUCGGCCCAGCGGGAGAUCAUGCCCCACAUCAGGGAGAAGCUGUGCUACAUCACCCUGGACUUCGAGAAGGAGAUGGCCACGGCCGCAUCUUCCUCCUCCCUGGAGAAGAGCUAGAGCUGCCCAAUGGCCAGGUCAUCACCAUCGGCAAUAAGCCAUCCCGGUGCCACUAAUGUGGCAAAGCCAAAAUUUUAACCAAAUCUGAUUUCAGUGCUCUGACCCAGAAAGUUCUUAUGCUCACAUCAGCUAUUCAGAUGUUAAUAUUUGGUAUUUUAAAUUACAGAAUGAUACAUAUCUGAGAUAGACCUCUUCAAGUCUUCCUUAUAAAUUAGAAACUAAAGAUUUUUCAAACAGAAAUACUUUCAAUUUUUCAAGAAGCUUUAAUUUUGUCUCAUAAGAUGUGAAUCGACUGGAUCUGUUAUUUAGAAUGAUUAGCACACUGGGCAUACUGGCAGCAAAGCCUUUGAAAUUGAUAAAAAUAUGUGCUCUAAUCUGACAGAGAUCAUCCAUUAGUUACACCAUUCCAAAGUUCCCUGUUAUUGCCUGUGACAUUUCCCAAAUCAUCUAGAGAUUCAAGCUGUUAGAACAGUUUCUUUUAUCAGUCAUCUCCAGAGGCUCAUCAAACUGAGAAUUGUAUAAUUUUGUAUUUUUAAAUCCAUGUGGCACUUGCCACAGACAGAACCUUUGGAAGAUGAUAUUGUUGGUGUCGAGCCUUUGGUUAAGAUCAACACUUGAUUGGUGAUUUUUAAUAUUAAUAAAAACAGCUAGCUUAAUGUUAAGCCUUUGUUCUUUUAAAAGACUGAAGAGAAAUAGAGUAACUACACUUGUGAUAUCACCUAGUAUAUAUUAAUACAUUAAAUAUGAAAAUUCAGUGAAAA
RNAcentral lists this non-coding RNA (3116 nucleotides) under Pan troglodytes (chimpanzee). Lineage: Eukaryota; Metazoa; Chordata; Mammalia; Primates; Hominidae. The record is from RNAcentral.